This 370-nucleotide long non-coding RNA is filed under the name Lathyrus oleraceus (garden pea). Its description in RNAcentral is "Pisum sativum (pea) long non-coding RNA (PSAT_LNC000304)". Lineage: Eukaryota; Viridiplantae; Streptophyta; Magnoliopsida; Fabales; Fabaceae. The record is from RNAcentral.
CAGCUUAACCGAAACCUGCUAUGUCCACACACUACACCAAAAUUUAAAACAGGACCAAUUUGUCCAAAUAUUACAACACAGUUUAAUAACCAAUCUAUCUCAAUGCUACACCAGAACUUAAUUUGAAACAUCACAGGAAAAAAUGCAUCUAAACCAAACAGAUACCGAAACGGGAUCAAAAUGUUAUUUACAAACUAUACAAAUCAAGCAACCCAGCAUACCGAUUCAAAAUCUGAACAGAAAUGAAACAUACUCGCAGUCAGAACACGUAACAUAUUGAGUACAUAAUACUCUUACCAGAUAUCAGUACAACAGAGACGAAAUCAAGAAAAUAUUUUCACAUACGCAAAGCUAAAUACGAGAUUAGUUA